Molecule: ribosomal RNA, 462 nt
Filed under: uncultured bacterium
Lineage: Bacteria
Description: partial 16S ribosomal RNA
Rfam family: Bacterial small subunit ribosomal RNA
Source: RNAcentral
AACAAACGCUGGCGGCGUGCCUAAUACAUGCAAGUCGAACGGGGAAAGCUUUCGGGUGAGUACUAGUGGCGCACGGGUGAGGAACGCGUGGAUAAUCUGCCUUAGAGUGGGGGAUAACUAGUCGAAAGAUUAGCUAAUACCGCAUAAGACCACGCGAGCUGCGGCUUUUGAGGUCAAAGGUUUUUCGCUCUAAGAUGAGUCCGCGUAAGAUUAGCUAGUUGGUGAGGUAACGGCUCACCAAGGCGACGAUCUUUAACUGGUCUGAGAGGAUGAUCAGUCACACGGGAACUGAGACACGGUCCAGACUCCUACGGGAGGCAGCAGUAGGGAAUAUUGCACAAUGGAGGAAACUCUGAUGCAGCGACGCCGCGUGAGUGAUGAAGGCCUUCGGGGCGUAAAGCUCUGUCGCAGGGGAAUAACACAAUGAAGGUACCCUGUAAGAAAGGAUCGGCUAACUUCGUG